UACGUAGGGUGCAAGCGUUGCCCGGAUUUAUUGGGCGUAAAGGGCGCGUAGGCGGCUCUGCACGUUCGUUGUGAAAUCGCCCGGCUCAACUGGGCGGGGUCAGCGGAUACGGCAGAGCUUGAGCAAGCUAGGGGGCAAUGGAAUUCCCGGUGUAGUGGUGGAAUGCGUAGAGAUGUGGAGGAACACCAGUGGCGAAGGCGACUUGCCAGAACGCGCUCGACGGUGAGGGAUGAAAGCUGGGGGAGCAAACCGG
RNAcentral lists this ribosomal RNA (253 nucleotides) under uncultured bacterium. RNAcentral's name for it is "partial 16S ribosomal RNA". It matches the Rfam family "Bacterial small subunit ribosomal RNA", at positions 524 to 776 of the family's 1533-position model. The record is from RNAcentral.